This 494-nucleotide ribosomal RNA is filed under the name uncultured bacterium. Its description in RNAcentral is "partial 16S ribosomal RNA". It matches the Rfam family "Bacterial small subunit ribosomal RNA", at positions 28 to 507 of the family's 1533-position model. The record is from RNAcentral.
GACGAACGCUGGCGGCGUGCUUAACACAUGCAAGUCGAACGGUGAAGCGCCUUCCUUUUUGGUGGGUGUGGAUGAGUGGCGAACGGGUGAGUAACACGUGAGUAACCUGCCCCCUUCUUCUGGAUAACCGCGUGAAAGUGUGGCUAAUACGGGAUAUUCUGGGUCUGUCGCAUGAUGGGUCUGGGAAAGAUAUUGUUUCGGUGGGGGAUGGGCUCGCGGCCUAUCAGCUUGUUGGUGGGGUGAUGGCCUACCAAGGCGGUGACGGGUAGCCGGCCUGAGAGGGUGGACGGUCACACUGGGAAUACGCCACGGACCAGCCUCCUACGGGAGGCAGCAGUGGGGAAUAUUGCACAAUGGGCGCAAGCCUGAUGCAGCGACGCCGCGUGAGGGAUGGAGGCCUUCGGGUUGUGAACCUCUUUCGCCAGUGAAGCAGGCCUGCCUCGUUUGUGGGUGGGUUGACGGUAGCUGGAUAAGAAGCGCCGGCUAACUACGUG